CAGCCGCCGCGGUAAUACGGAGGGUGCAAGCGUUAUCCGGAUUUAUUGGGUUUAAAGGGUGCGCAGGCGGAGGAAUAAGUCAGUGGUGAAAUACUGCCGCUCAACGGUAGGGCUGCCAUUGAUACUGUUUUUCUUGAGUAUGGUUGAGGUAAGCGGAAUGUGCGGUGUAGCGGUGAAAUGCAUAGAUAUCGCACAGAACGCCGAUUGCGAAGGCAGCUUACUAAGCCAUUACUGACGCUGAGGCACGAAAGCGUGGGUAGCGAACAGGAUUAGAUACCCUGGUAGUCCACGCCGUAAACGAUGUUCACUCGCUGUUUGCGAUACACAGCAAGCGGCUGAGCGAAAGCAUUAAGUGAACCACCUGGGGAGUACGCCCGCAAGGGUGAAACUCAAAGGAAUUGACGGGGGCCCGCACAAGCGGUGGAACAUGUGGUUUAAUUCGAUGAUACGCGAGGAACCUUACCUGGGCUUAAAUGCAGGUUGCAUAAACUGGAAACAGUUUUUCCCUUCGGGGCUACUGGCAAGGUGCUGCAUGGUUGUCUUCAGCUCGUGCCGUGAGGUGUCGGGUUAAGUCCCAUAACGAGCGCAACCCCUACCGUUAGUUGCCAUCGGGUAAUGCCGGGGACUCUACCGGGACUGCCACCGUAAGGUGAGAGGAAGGUGGGGAUGACGUCAA
Molecule: ribosomal RNA, 676 nt
Filed under: uncultured Bacteroidota bacterium
Lineage: Bacteria; Pseudomonadati; Bacteroidota
Description: bacterial SSU rRNA
Rfam family: Bacterial small subunit ribosomal RNA
Source: RNAcentral